CCCUUAGAUGUUCUGGGCCGCACGCGCGCUACACUGAUGCAUUCAACGAGUCUAAAACCUGCUCUGAUAGGGGUGGGUAAUCUUUUGAAUGUGCAUCGUGAUUGGGAUAGAUGAUUGCAAUUUUUCAUCUUCAACGAGGAAUGCCUAGUACACGCAAGUCAUCAGCUUGCAUUGAUUACGUCCCUGCCCUUUGUACACACCGCCCGUCGCUCCUACCGAUUGAAUGAUCCGAUGAAUAUCAUGGAUUGAGGAUGCAAGUAGGUUAGCCUAUCUUCAUCUUCGAGAAGUGAAGUAAAUCUUAUCAUUUAGAGGAAGGAGAAGUCGUAACA
Molecule: ribosomal RNA, 329 nt
Filed under: uncultured eukaryote
Lineage: Eukaryota
Description: partial 18S ribosomal RNA
Rfam family: Eukaryotic small subunit ribosomal RNA
Source: RNAcentral